ACGCUCGACACCUACGGAGGCAGCAGUGGGGAAUAUUGCACAAUGGGGGAAACCCUGAUGCAGCGACGCCGCGUGAGCGAAGAAGUAUUUCGGUAUGUAAAGCUCUAUCAGCAGGGAAGAAAAUGACGGUACCUGACUAAGAAGCCCCGGCUAACUACGUGCCAGCAGCCGCGGUAAUCUGAGGCGGGCUGGCAAGGC
This 198-nucleotide ribosomal RNA is filed under the name uncultured bacterium. Its description in RNAcentral is "partial 16S ribosomal RNA". It matches the Rfam family "Bacterial small subunit ribosomal RNA", at positions 328 to 539 of the family's 1533-position model. The record is from RNAcentral.